Molecule: ribosomal RNA, 253 nt
Filed under: uncultured bacterium
Lineage: Bacteria
Description: partial 16S ribosomal RNA
Rfam family: Bacterial small subunit ribosomal RNA
Source: RNAcentral
GACGAACCGAGCGAACGUUGUUCGGAAUCACUGGGCUUAAAGGGCGCGUAGGCGGGUGCUCAAGUCCGGGGUGAAAUCCCACAGCUCAACUGUGGAAUUGCCUCGGAUACUGGGUGUCUCGAGGGUGGUAGGGGUAUGCGGAACUAUCGGUGGAGCGGUGAAAUGCGUUGAUAUCGAUAGGAACUCCGGUGGCGAAGGCGGCAUCCUGGACCGGUAUUGACACUGAGGCGCGAAAGCCAGGGGAGCAAACGGG